This 561-nucleotide ribosomal RNA is filed under the name uncultured bacterium. RNAcentral describes it as "partial 16S ribosomal RNA". It matches the Rfam family "Bacterial small subunit ribosomal RNA", at positions 355 to 906 of the family's 1533-position model. The record is from RNAcentral.
UGGGGAAUCUUCCGCAAUGGGCGAAAGCCUGACGGAGCAACGCCGCGUGAGUGAAGACGGCCUUCGGGUUGUAAAGCUCUGUUAUAUGGGACGAACGGGUGUAUGGUCAAUACCCAUACGCCGUGACGGUACCGUAAGAGAAAGCCACGGCUAACUACGUGCCAGCAGCCGCGGUAAUACGUAGGUGGCAAGCGUUGUCCGGAAUCAUUGGGCGUAAAGGGCGCGCAGGCGGUUCGGUAAGUCGGUCUUAAAAGUGCGGGGCUUAACCCCGUGAUGGGAUUGAAACUGCCGGACUGGAGUGUCGGAGAGGAAAGCAGAAUUCCUAGUGUAGCGGUGAAAUGCGUAGAUAUUAGGAGGAAUACCAGUGGCGAAAGCGGCUUUCUGGACGACAACUGACGCUGAGGCGCGAAAGCCAGGGGAGCAAACGGGAUUAGAUACCCCGGUAGUCCUGGCCGUAAACGAUGGAUACUAGGUGUAGGGAGGUAUCGACCCCUUCUGUGCCGGAGUUAACGCAAUAAGUAUCCCGCCUGGGGAGUACGGCCGCAAGGUUGAAACUCUAAA